AGCUACCUGGCCAGAGCCACAGGCUGUGUUCUUAUACAGACUGCACAGAAAGAGAAGGCCAAGUAAACCUACCCCACAUACACACCUCAGCCUGGGCCCUUUGCCUAGUCUGUAUUGUGAAUGGGGGGACAUGG
This is a small nucleolar RNA of Molossus molossus (Pallas's mastiff bat), 134 nucleotides long. RefSeq annotates it as small nucleolar RNA SNORA51. The transcript has a single exon. The record is from RefSeq and is a predicted model, not a curated record. NCBI's taxonomy places the organism in Eukaryota, Metazoa, Chordata, Mammalia, Chiroptera, Molossidae.